RNAcentral lists this ribosomal RNA (545 nucleotides) under Ectopseudomonas alcaliphila. RNAcentral's name for it is "bacterial SSU rRNA". It matches the Rfam family "Bacterial small subunit ribosomal RNA", at positions 216 to 753 of the family's 1533-position model. The record is from RNAcentral. Lineage: Bacteria; Pseudomonadati; Pseudomonadota; Gammaproteobacteria; Pseudomonadales; Pseudomonadaceae.
CGCUAUCAGAUGAGCCUAGGUCGGAUUAGCUAGUUGGUGAGGUAAUGGCUCACCAAGGCGACGAUCCGUAACUGGUCUGAGAGGAUGAUCAGUCACACUGGAACUGAGACACGGUCCAGACUCCUACGGGAGGCAGCAGUGGGGAAUAUUGGACAAUGGGCGAAAGCCUGAUCCAGCCAUGCCGCGUGUGUGAAGAAGGUCUUCGGAUUGUAAAGCACUUUAAGUUGGGAGGAAGGGCAUUAACCUAAUACGUUAGUGUUUUGACGUUACCGACAGAAUAAGCACCGGCUAACUUCGUGCCAGCAGCCGCGGUAAUACGAAGGGUGCAAGCGUUAAUCGGAAUUACUGGGCGUAAAGCGCGCGUAGGUGGUUCGUUAAGUUGGAUGUGAAAGCCCCGGGCUCAACCUGGGAACUGCAUCCAAAACUGGCGAGCUAGAGUACGGUAGAGGGUGGUGGAAUUUCCUGUGUAGCGGUGAAAUGCGUAGAUAUAGGAAGGAACACCAGUGGCGAAGGCGACCACCUGGACUGAUACUGACACUGAGGUG